UACGUAGGGAGCGAGCGUUAUCCGGAUUUAUUGGGUGUAAAGGGUGCGUAGACGGGUCUACAAGUUAGUUGUGAAAUCCCUCGGCUCAACUGAGGAACUGCAGCUAAAACUAUAGAUCUUGAGUGCAGGAGAGGUAAGUGGAAUUCCUAGUGUAGCGGUGAAAUGCGUAGAUAUUAGGAGGAACACCAGUGGCGAAGGCGACUUACUGGACUGUAACUGACGUUGAGGCACGAAAGUGUGGGGAGCAAACAGG
This 253-nucleotide ribosomal RNA is filed under the name uncultured bacterium. Its description in RNAcentral is "partial 16S ribosomal RNA". It matches the Rfam family "Bacterial small subunit ribosomal RNA", at positions 524 to 776 of the family's 1533-position model. The record is from RNAcentral.